Molecule: ribosomal RNA, 1200 nt
Filed under: Salmonella enterica
Lineage: Bacteria; Pseudomonadati; Pseudomonadota; Gammaproteobacteria; Enterobacterales; Enterobacteriaceae
Description: partial 23S ribosomal RNA
Rfam family: Bacterial large subunit ribosomal RNA
Source: RNAcentral
AAACCGUUAUAACCGGCGAUACCCGAAUGGGGAAACCCAGUGUGAUUCGUCACACUAUCAUUAACUGAAUCCAUAGGUUAAUGAGGCGAACCGGGGGAACUGAAACAUCUAAGUACCCCGAGGAAAAGAAAUCAACCGAGAUUCCCCCAGUAGCGGCGAGCGAACGGGGAGGAGCCCAGAGCCUGAAUCAGCAUGUGUGUUAGUGGAAGCGUCUGGAAAGGCGCGCGAUACAGGGUGACAGCCCCGUACACAAAAGCGCAUGUGCUGUGAGCUCGAUGAGUAGGGCGGGACACGUGGUAUCCUGUCUGAAUAUGGGGGGACCAUCCUCCAAGGCUAAAUACUCCUGACUGACCGAUAGUGAACCAGUACCGUGAGGGAAAGGCGAAAAGAACCCCGGCGAGGGGAGUGAAAAAGAACCUGAAACCGUGUACGUACAAGCAGUGGGAGCACCCUUCGGGGUGUGACUGCGUACCUUUUGUAUAAUGGGUCAGCGACUUAUAUUCUGUAGCAAGGUUAACCGAAUAGGGGAGCCGGAGGGAAACCGAGUCUUAACCGGGCGUUAAGUUGCAGGGUAUAGACCCGAAACCCGGUGAUCUAGCCAUGGGCAGGUUGAAGGUUGGGUAACACUAACUGGAGGACCGAACCGACUAAUGUUGAAAAAUUAGCGGAUGACCUGUGGCUGGGGGUGAAAGGCCAAUCAAACCGGGAGAUAGCUGGUUCUCCCCGAAAGCUAUUUAGGUAGCGCCUCGUGAAUUCAUCUCCGGGGGUAGAGCACUGUUUCGGCUAGGGGGCCAUCCCGGCUUACCAACCCGAUGCAAACUGCGAAUACCGGAGAAUGUUAUCACGGGAGACACACGGCGGGUGCUAACGUCCGUCGUGAAGAGGGAAACAACCCAGACCGCCAGCUAAGGUCCCAAAGUCAUGGUUAAGUGGGAAACGAUGUGGGAAGGCCCAGACAGCCAGGAUGUUGGCUUAGAAGCAGCCAUCAUUUAAAGAAAGCGUAAUAGCUCACUGGUCGAGUCGGCCUGCGCGGAAGAUGUAACGGGGCUAAACCAUGCACCGAAGCUGCGGCAGCGACACUGUGUGUUGUUGGGUAGGGGAGCGUUCUGUAAGCCUGUGAAGGUGUGUCGUGAGGCAUGCUGGAGGUAUCAGAAGUGCGAAUGCUGACAUAAGUAACGAUAAAGCGGGUGAAAAGCCCGC